Molecule: small RNA, 548 nt
Filed under: Histoplasma capsulatum var. duboisii H88
Lineage: Eukaryota; Fungi; Ascomycota; Eurotiomycetes; Onygenales; Ajellomycetaceae
Description: Histoplasma capsulatum H88 hypothetical RNA
Source: RNAcentral
AGGUUCUGUCACAGCGCUCAAUUGACUGUAUGUAUCGGCAGCGGCCUCGGGGGUUGCAAGUGUGGGAAUCGGCAAAGGGAAGAGGAUCACUCGGAAGCCCGUCUCUUCAUAGGUCUCUCGUAAGGCGGCAUUCUCCAGUGCCUCUCCAAUGUUCUUGCGCCCUUUAGGGAGGAGAAUCUCUUGGUUUUUGUUCUGGCGAAUGAGUAGCAUCUUUGCCUGAGUGGGAUCCAAAGUGACUGUGCCACAGCUGAUGCUAAAAGCAUCACAAAGGUGUAACGAUUUAUCAAAAUCAAGGGAGGGCAUAGAGAGAAGAAUACACAUGCACAUCAACCACCUGAAGAUCAGAGAUAAACAGCUUGGUACUAGUAUUUGAUUAACUAGUACAGCAAUUGUGAGUAAUCUGAAUGUAAUUAAGAGUGACUUUACCAGUUAAUGUGUGUUACUACAAGUAGCCUUAGCUCAUCAGCAUCAAAUGAGGGUGAAAAUAACCGACUAUUUUUGACUUAUUCAUUGUGAUGCAGCAAAGUUAACGAGGGAGCAUUAAGACC